Molecule: ribosomal RNA, 253 nt
Filed under: Anaerostipes caccae L1-92
Lineage: Bacteria; Bacillati; Bacillota; Clostridia; Lachnospirales; Lachnospiraceae
Description: partial 16S ribosomal RNA
Rfam family: Bacterial small subunit ribosomal RNA
Source: RNAcentral
UACGUAGGGGGCAAGCGUUAUCCGGAAUUACUGGGUGUAAAGGGUGCGUAGGUGGCAUGGUAAGUCAGAAGUGAAAGCCCGGGGCUUAACCCCGGGACUGCUUUUGAAACUGUCAUGCUGGAGUGCAGGAGAGGUAAGCGGAAUUCCUAGUGUAGCGGUGAAAUGCGUAGAUAUUAGGAGGAACACCAGUGGCGAAGGCGGCUUACUGGACUGUCACUGACACUGAUGCACGAAAGCGUGGGGAGCAAACAGG